Molecule: ribosomal RNA, 429 nt
Filed under: Chloroflexota bacterium
Lineage: Bacteria; Bacillati; Chloroflexota
Description: Chloroflexi bacterium partial 16S ribosomal RNA
Rfam family: Bacterial small subunit ribosomal RNA
Source: RNAcentral
UGGGGAAUAUUGCACAAUGGGCGCAAGCCUGAUGCAGCCAUGCCGCGUGUAUGAAGAAGGCCUUCGGGUUGUAAAGUACUUUCAGUCGGGAGGAAGGUGUCAAGGUUAAUAACCUUGGCAAUUGACGUUACCGACAGAAGAAGCACCGGCUAACUCCGUGCCAGCAGCCGCGGUAAUACGGAGGGUGCAAGCGUUAAUCGGAAUUACUGGGCGUAAAGCGCACGCAGGCGGUUGAUUGAGUCAGAUGUGAAAUCCCCGGGCUUAACCCGGGAAUUGCAUCUGAUACUGGUCAGCUAGAGUCUUGUAGAGGUGGGUAGAAUGCCAUGUGUAGCGGUGAAAUGCGUAGAGAUGUGGAGGAAUACCGGUGGCGAAGGCGGCCCCCUGGACAAAGACUGACGCUCAGGUGCGAAAGCGUGGGGAGCAAACAGG